Gossypium raimondii (Peruvian cotton) is the source of this 119-nucleotide ribosomal RNA. NCBI's taxonomy places the organism in Eukaryota, Viridiplantae, Streptophyta, Magnoliopsida, Malvales, Malvaceae. The record is from RefSeq and is a predicted model, not a curated record.
CGAUGCGAUCAUACCAGCACUAAUGCACCGGAUCCCAUCAAAACGCCGUAGUUAAGCGUGCCUGGGCGAGAGUAGUACUAGGAUGGGUGACCUCCUUGGAAGUCCUCGUAUUGUACCCC